GGGCAUGUAGUCCAAUGGAUAAGAUACCUCAAUUGUCGAAGCACGAUUUCGCUCGUGGCUAUCCAUCAGCGUAUUCGAUGUCUAGGACGGUCGAGAUCAUGUCCGAUCGAUGGGGAGAUGCGAGUUCGAGUCCCGCCGUGUCCA
Paraphoma chrysanthemicola is the source of this 144-nucleotide non-coding RNA. The record is from the annotation of a GenBank genome assembly. Lineage: Eukaryota; Fungi; Ascomycota; Dothideomycetes; Pleosporales; Phaeosphaeriaceae.